ACGAGCUAUCGAGUUUCGUGUUUUCCGUCCAGGCCUACAUACAGUCCUCCUCCUAUGAGAAGGAAAAAAAAAAGAGCUUGAUUUGCGUCUCCGCCGAGCGCAGGAGUAGCAGAUCCGCUGCCGGUGCAGACUCGGCAACUGGGCCUCGGCUGGCAGAGAAGGGGAGCGACGACGAUGGUCGCGGAGGCACGCGCUUGGCUUCUGCAAUGUGGAUUUGUAGGAGACGACGUCCCCGUCGACAACGAGGUGCCACUGCACCUUGCAUUGCAUUUCUGAGCUACCACAUUGCUUUGUCAAAUGAUCUUGACUAUUAACUGAAGGGUGCAAACUCUCCUUACUGUCCUUUGAGGCUUCUCUGAUGCUUUAUACUGCUUAUGUUUUUUAGGUUAUGCCCACUUCUUUCUCUGCACUCAAAUUCUGUUUCAGAAGCUUUAUUACCUCGUACUGUAUGGUGAAAUUCAAG
Molecule: long non-coding RNA, 463 nt
Organism: Oryza brachyantha (malo sina)
Lineage: Eukaryota; Viridiplantae; Streptophyta; Magnoliopsida; Poales; Poaceae
Exons: 3
Source: RefSeq, a predicted model, not a curated record